RNAcentral lists this ribosomal RNA (433 nucleotides) under uncultured bacterium. RNAcentral describes it as "partial 16S ribosomal RNA". It matches the Rfam family "Bacterial small subunit ribosomal RNA", at positions 29 to 507 of the family's 1533-position model. The record is from RNAcentral.
AACGAACGCUGGCGGCAUGCCUAACACAUGCAAGUCGAACGAGACCUUCGGGUCUAGUGGCGCACGGGUGCGUAACGCGUGGGAACCUGCCCUUAGGUUCGGAAUAACUCCCCGAAAGGGGUGCUAAUACCGGAUAAUGUCUUCGGACCAAAGAUUUAUCGCCUUUGGAUGGGCCCGCGUUGGAUUAGCUAGUUGGUAGGGUAAAAGCCUACCAAGGCGACGAUCCAUAGCUGGUCUGAGAGGAUGAUCAGCCACACUGGGACUGAGACACGGCCCAGACUCCUACGGGAGGCAGCAGUGGGGAAUAUUGGACAAUGGGCGAAAGCCUGAUCCAGCAAUGCCGCGUGAGUGAUGAAGGCCUUAGGGUUGUAAAGCUCUUUUACCCGGAAUGAUAAUGACAGUACCGGGAGAAUAAGCUCCGGCUAACCCCGUG